GCAAUAUUUGCUUCAUACUUCAUAUGAAAAUUCAACAGUUUUCUUAAUUAAAUAAAUUCUCAAUGUUUUCCCGAGUAGAUUUUUACCUCUAACAUGUGUUUAUAAGCCAAAGCACGAGUUUCUACUUUGACUAGCAGCUUAAAGUACUCGAAGCGAGUGCAUUCGUCUAGCAGAUACCCUAAAAUCUCAUUCGGGGAAGGGAAUCAAGAAAAAGACUGCUGAGAUUUUGACUAAAGAUUUAUAUAUUUUAAGGGUGGACAGAACGAUAGAAAGAUAAUCAAGAAUAUCUUUGCCUGAUGUACGCUUAAAGGACUUAAAAGAUAGUAUGGUGUGUCUAUCGCAACUGAUCAAGGAUUUAAAUACUAUCGAGACAAACGGAAGUAUGCAAAAGGCUAUUAAUGGUGGUCCCAAUUCUAAGAGAAGAUGGAAUAAUGAAAACUACAAAUUCAAUUUUUCAAGAAUGGAAGGAGGGAAGAAAAAUGGUAGAGAGUUUGAUGCAUAGAUUCUGAUCAAAAUAUUAAUUAAACGAAGGCAGAUGGUCGUAAAAGGUUAGAGAGAUGCGGCUAUUAAUUCUGACAUGAAGAACAAACGAAAUGAUGGAAAAGAUAUUAAUUUUGAUAAAGAAGGACAAAAGAGGCUGGUUAGCUUCAGCCUCGAUGCUGAUCAAGGAUACGCGAAUACUAAGGACGCACGGAAGGUCGAAGGAUGAACAAGAAUUUCUGUAAUUUAAGGAUGGAUGGGAAAUCGAAGAAGACUAGUUGCUAUCAUCUCUUAUUCUGAUCCAGAAUACCCUAACUUAAUGGACACAGGAAAGGACGAAAAAGGCUUCUGAUGCCAAGCCAAAAUCAAUGCGCUCUAAAUGGUUGAGACUCUCAGCAUGAACUUUCCAUUCGCCACCUGUGGCCAGAGUAUCAUCAGCUUGGCUAGGAUUAUGCGAAAUUCGUGCUAAGUGAAUGAAAUAAAGUUGUUCAGCUUCAAUGCUUAAAGUCCAGGUUCCUGUUAAGGCUCUGGGUGGCCGAGGCCCAGCAGGCCUGUAGAGUGAAAAACUCAUAUUUAUUUAAAGCAAGCCAAAUGAAAGCCCAAAAGAAAAAUCAACUUUUGCGAAAAUGUUUUGUUGCCAUAGACUGGCCAACUUCAAAGGCGAAGGCUCGGUUAACUAAAAAUGGUUCAUGGCCAGGUAAUUGUUGCCAGUUCUGAAUCGAAGCAGCGAAGCAUAAAAGUGCUCAAUCCCAAUCCCAAUCCCUAUCCCUAUCCCGAUCCUGAUCCUGUUCGCAAUGCCCAUGCGGACUAGACGAGGCUGUCACUCGACGCAGAAGGCCAAACGAAUGCCGGCUAUAAAUUUCAUGCGAACUUAAUUAGAUGAGCGGCAAGAGUCGGCUCUCUGGCCCUGGGUCUCAGAGGGGGGGGAAUUGCGGCUGUCAUUUGCUUCUGGCAUGUGGAGCAUCUGGCAUUUGGCAGCACGUGUGUGGGGCCGCCAGCGUAGGCGACGCGAGAGUUUUACCAAAGUUUAGCUGCACAGCCAGGGCACAAAAAUAUGCCAGUUUGAUUUUAAUAAAAAAAAAAAAAAAAAAAUAACAACAAAAAAGGAGCAACAACUGCGCCAGCAGCAGCCACGUUAGCUUUAUGCCUAAGCUUAAGCGGAAUCAAAUGUACAUCGGGAGUCAAGUGUUGGCCCGAGUUAACCUACGGCUGCCUUGCCCUUGUGGGCGGGGGCUGGUGGGCGGGGGCGCAAUUAUGCCGAAAUUACAAACUUGUUAUCUCAUUUAUGGCGUCAGCUGUGUGUAUUUUUGAUUUCCUGCUAUGAUUUUUCAA
This is a long non-coding RNA of Drosophila mojavensis, 1812 nucleotides long. RefSeq lists it as uncharacterized. The transcript has 3 exons. The record is from RefSeq and is a predicted model, not a curated record. Lineage: Eukaryota; Metazoa; Arthropoda; Insecta; Diptera; Drosophilidae.